UAGGGAAUCUUCGGCAAUGGACGAAAGUCUGACCGAGCAACGCCGCGUGAGUGAAGAAGGUUUUCGGAUCGUAAAACUCUGUUGUUAGAGAAGAACAAGGACGUUAGUAACUGAACGUCCCCUGACGGUAUCUAACCAGAAAGCCACGGCUAACUACGUGCCAGCAGCCGCGGUAAUACGUAGGUGGCAAGCGUUGUCCGGAUUUAUUGGGCGUAAAGCGAGCGCAGGCGGUUUCUUAAGUCUGAUGUGAAAGCCCCCGGCUCAACCGGGGAGGGUCAUUGGAAACUGGGAGACGUGAGUGCAGAAGAGGAGAGUGGAAUUCCAUGUGUAGCGGUGAAAUGCGUAGAUAUAUGGAGGAACACCAGUGGCGAAGGCGGCCCCCUGGACGAAGACUGACGCUCAGGUGCGAAAGCGUGGGGGGCUAACAGG
RNAcentral lists this ribosomal RNA (429 nucleotides) under Chloroflexota bacterium. RNAcentral's name for it is "Chloroflexi bacterium partial 16S ribosomal RNA". It matches the Rfam family "Bacterial small subunit ribosomal RNA", at positions 355 to 776 of the family's 1533-position model. The record is from RNAcentral. Lineage: Bacteria; Bacillati; Chloroflexota.